This 328-nucleotide RNase P RNA is filed under the name Candidatus Cloacimonadota bacterium. Its description in RNAcentral is "Candidatus Cloacimonetes bacterium RNase P RNA component class A". It matches the Rfam family "Bacterial RNase P class A". Rfam says of the family: Ribonuclease P (RNase P) is a ubiquitous endoribonuclease, found in archaea, bacteria and eukarya as well as chloroplasts and mitochondria. Its best characterised activity is the generation of mature 5'-ends of tRNAs by cleaving the 5'-leader elements of precursor-tRNAs. Cellular RNase Ps are ribonucleoproteins. Lineage: Bacteria; Pseudomonadati; Candidatus Cloacimonadota. The record is from RNAcentral.
GGAGAGGAGCAGAUGGUCGCUCCGGUAUUUGCCGGGGAGGAAAGUCCGGACACCACAGGACAGGGUGCUCCGUAACACGGAGGCGUUGUGAGGCGAUGGAUAGUGCAACAGAGAGUAAUCUGCCGAUGGUCUUAUUAAAGACACAGGCGAUGGUGAAACGGUGUGGUAAGAGCACACCAGGCUUCAUAGAAAUAUGAGGUGCUUUGUAAACCCCACCCGGUGCAAGACCGAAUAGGAGGGAAGAGUAGUCCUGCUCGCUUGACCCUCGGGUAGGUCGCUUAGAUAGAUGACCAUCCAAACAGAAUCCGGCUUACGCUCCUCUCCAUAC